Molecule: ribosomal RNA, 301 nt
Filed under: uncultured bacterium
Lineage: Bacteria
Description: partial 16S ribosomal RNA
Rfam family: Bacterial small subunit ribosomal RNA
Source: RNAcentral
CAGUCGCCACGGGAAUACGAAGGGUGCAAGCGUUACUCGGAAUUACUGGGCGUAAAGCGUGCGUAGGUGGUGGUUUAAGUCCGUUGUGAAAGCCCUGGGCUCAACCUGGGAAUUGCAGUGGAUACUGGGUCACUAGAGUGUGGUAGAGGAUAGUGGAAUUUCCGGUGUAGCAGUGAAAUGCGUAGAGAUCGGAAGGAACAUCUGUGGCGAAGGCGACUAUCUGGGCCAACACUGACACUGAGGCACGAAAGCGUGGGGAGCAAACAGGAUUAGAUACCCCAGUAGUCCCUGUCUCUUAUAU